Molecule: ribosomal RNA, 216 nt
Filed under: uncultured bacterium
Lineage: Bacteria
Description: partial 16S ribosomal RNA
Rfam family: Bacterial small subunit ribosomal RNA
Source: RNAcentral
UGGGAACCUUCCCUAUGGUUCGGAAUAGCUCAGGGAAACUUGGGGUAAUACCGGAUAAGCCCUUCGGGGGAAAGAUUUAUCGCCAUUGGAUGGGUCCGCGUCGGAUUAGCUAGUUGGUGAGGUAACGGCUCACCAAGGCGACGAUCCGUAGCUGGUCUGAGAGGAUGAUCAGCCACACUGGGACUGAGACACGGCCCAGACUCCUACGGGAGGCAG